CUACAAAAAAAAUUGUGAAUAACGACAGAAUGAUAGGGGCGGUUCACUAAAACCGUCGUCGCUAUGUUGUUUUCAUGAGUUUGCGACUGUUCAUUCUAAACCGUCGUCGUCAUAUCUGAAUAUUACGUGCUACCCUUUCCUUGUUCCCUCUUCUUUUUUUUGCACUCACAAAUUUGGCUUCCAUUCACAAAUCGUUCGAUCCUUCAACAAUAAAUCAUCCUCAGAAAUCCUUCAUUUCAGAAUUGUUCAAUCGAGUUUCAGAAUCGUUCAACCCUAGUUUCAUUUCAACAAAGCUUCGAUUCAAUUUCUCAGAAAUCCUUCAUUUCAGCAUCAUUCAACUUGAAUUGUUCAAUUGAGUUUCAAAAUCGUUCAACCCUAGUUUCAACAAAGCUUCGAUUCAGUUUCUCAGAAAUCCUUCAUUUCAGCAUCGUUCAACUUCAGAGUUGUUCAAUUGUGUUUCAGUUAUCUCAUUCGGAAUCGUUCACGGUUCAUCACUCAUUUAACCUUCAAAUUCUUCGUUGGUAAUUAGACUUAGGUAUUUCAAACUUUCCGACGGCCGCAAUGUUGAGACAAAGCUAAUAUGAACAGAGCUAAUAUGAAAUGAUUAAUUCACACUGUAAUGAGCUUUUCAAUAUUGAGAUUUUGGAGGAAGGUAGUGGAAUAAAGAAUCGUGUUGUUUGACAUAGAUCAAAGCUCGAACUUUACACAAAGUGUAACAGGAUCUCAUCUUGGGCCUGCGGUUUUACACGAACUGUUGUUCUUCAAUAUCUCAUCUUGGGCCUGCGGUUUUACACGAACUGUUGUUCUUCAAUGAUUCUAUCCUGGUGUUACUGAUGCAUUAAAAUUUGCAAGCACAAGAGUGUACAAUGUACAUUGUCACCACAAAACAGGUCUGACUUCUCUCUCUGCUCCUACCAUGAAGACAAUAGUCCUAAUCCUAUGACAUGCCAUUAUUUAUACUUUUGCCAAUAAUUAGCAUCUGAUAAAAUUUAUGAAUGUGAAUUUUGUAAAUGUUAAUUACCAUUGCCAAUAAUUAGGAUAUGACACAAAUUCCUAAUUGGCAACAUCUGAUUUAUCAUAUUUCACAGACCCUGAAAUGAAACUAAAUUUGCAAUAGCUGGUCAUACUUGGUCUAUGUACUCAUUGAAGGAUUAGUAAUAGUAAUAGUGGAUAUGCAAUCACACAUGCUGCAUUAAAUUGUAGUACAUGAACACUAACUAGGAUUCUUUGUUUUGCAUAUGAUACUUUCUUUUGAGCUUCCAUUCACUUUAAUUUCACUCCUUAAGUUUAGCAGCGGUAGUACAAAGAUAGGACCUCGUAAGAAUUCAAUGACUUAUGCAGAGAAAGGAGUGCUUCAUUUUGGGUAAGCUGCUCUUUUUUACCUGACGCUAUUGUGCUAUUAAUUAGUCUGGCUUGAUCAUGAAUAAGGUUUGCUUGCUGCAUUUUGGUUUUACAAUACCGAAGUUUUCUGGUUUGGCAGGUUGUGAACAUGUUUGUUCUUUCUGAUUAAUAAAUUGGUAAUUAGGUAUAUAUUUUGAUUAUUCAAAUUAGGUAUUCCAAUUAUAUAUUCAUGUGAGUGUUUUGGUAGAUUUGUAUGUUUUGAUUGAUUAUUCAAAACCGCCGCUAACCGCUUGCAGAACCGUCGCAAACUGGCUAAUUUCUCGUAGUGAAAUGACUUAUUUAUAGGCUAACUAACUAGACUAACUAGUAACUAGUACAAUAUUAACCAUGCAAGUUGGGAUAUUUUUUUAUUUCACUAUACAAAAUUUUCUUUAGGGCAUAAAAUGUAAACUCAAUUCUAAAGAGCAAUAAUGCCACAUGGUGAACUCUAUUCUAAACACGAUGUAGACUGUAGUACAAUUGAAACACGUGAAAAGUAUAAUGAUUUUGUAU
Trifolium pratense (red clover) is the source of this 1893-nucleotide long non-coding RNA. RefSeq lists it as uncharacterized. The transcript has 5 exons. The record is from RefSeq and is a predicted model, not a curated record. NCBI's taxonomy places the organism in Eukaryota, Viridiplantae, Streptophyta, Magnoliopsida, Fabales, Fabaceae.